UACCCACUGUGGUGUUCGAGAGCGACAGCUUAAUUCUUGAACCACUUUAUGUUCGAUUAGGAAGCUAUUCCCGGUAAAGGUGUGCAGGCCCGCCGCGUAGCGGGAAGCCUGAUUUGCCGUAUCAGUUUCCACCCUGUUCCUUGGGUUCGAGAUCGGACGUCGUAACGGCACUGGCGGUGGGUGC
This 184-nucleotide non-coding RNA is filed under the name Gammaproteobacteria bacterium. RNAcentral's name for it is "6S RNA". It matches the Rfam family "6S / SsrS RNA". Rfam says of the family: E. coli 6S RNA was the first non coding RNA to be sequenced, but its function was unknown until recently. The record is from RNAcentral. Lineage: Bacteria; Pseudomonadati; Pseudomonadota; Gammaproteobacteria.